CUUCUUCGCAAGAAAACUUUCCAGUUGGCUAGCUACAACUGUGCUCUCAAUAAUUGUCCUCAGGAGGAAAUUUUACAUCAUCUCUUCUGGACCUGCCCUUUUGCAGCUCAAUGUUGGGAUAUUAUUUGUCCUUCCAGGCAACUUAAUGUGUCUGUGCUUGAAGCCUUUGAGGAUCUCAGGUUCAAACUUAAUGUUCCAUUCUUCAUGGAAAUCAUCAUUCUAGCUUCUUGGGCCAUAUGGAUAUCAAGAAAUAAUCUGAUCUUUCAAGCCAUUCAGCCUUCCAUUCAGAGGUGGAAAGUCAUUUUCCUUGAUGAGCUUAAUCUUCUGAGAUAUAGAGUGAAAAAGAGCUAUGCCAGAGCUUUCUGUACUUGGCUUGAUAACCUUGUACUGUAA
This 393-nucleotide ribosomal RNA is filed under the name Triticum aestivum (bread wheat). Its description in RNAcentral is "partial small subunit ribosomal RNA". Lineage: Eukaryota; Viridiplantae; Streptophyta; Magnoliopsida; Poales; Poaceae. The record is from RNAcentral.